AUGAACGCUGGCGGCGUGCCUAAUACAUGCCAGUCGAGCGAACAGAUGAGGAGCUUGCUCCUCUGACGUUAGCGGCGGACGGGUGAGUAACACGUGGAUAACCUACCUAUAAGACUGGGAUAACUUCGGGAAACCGGAGCUAAUACCGGAUAAUAUAUUGAACCGCAUGGUUCAAUAGUGAAAGACGGUUUUGCUGUCACUUAUAGAUGGAUCCGCGCCGCAUUAGCUAGUUGGUAAGGUAACGGCUUACCAAGGCAACGAUGCGUAGCCGACCUGAGAGGGUGAUCGGCCACACUGGAACUGAGACACGGUCCAGACUCCUACGGGAGGCAGCAGUAGGGAAUCUUCCGCAAUGGGCGAAAGCCUGACGGAGCAACGCCGCGUGAGUGAUGAAGGUCUUCGGAUUGUAAAACUCUGUUAUUAGGGAAGAACAAAUGUGUAAGUAACUAUGCACGUCUUGACGGUACCUAAUCAGAAAGCCACGGCUAACUACGUG
RNAcentral lists this ribosomal RNA (496 nucleotides) under uncultured bacterium. RNAcentral describes it as "partial 16S ribosomal RNA". It matches the Rfam family "Bacterial small subunit ribosomal RNA", at positions 29 to 507 of the family's 1533-position model. The record is from RNAcentral.